RNAcentral lists this ribosomal RNA (460 nucleotides) under uncultured bacterium. RNAcentral describes it as "partial 16S ribosomal RNA". It matches the Rfam family "Bacterial small subunit ribosomal RNA", at positions 338 to 795 of the family's 1533-position model. The record is from RNAcentral.
CCUACGGGAGACAGCAGUGAGGAAUAUUGGUCAAUGGACGAGAGUCUGAACCAGCCAAGUAGCGUGAAGGAUGACUGCCCUAUGGGUUGUAAACUUCUUUUAUAUGGGAAUAAAAUGUUCCACGUGUGGGAUUUUGUAUGUACCAUAUGAAUAAGGAUCGGCUAACUCCGUGCCAGCAGCCGCGGUAAUACGGAGGAUCCGAGCGUUAUCCGGAUUUAUUGGGGUUAAAGGGAGCGUAGGUGGAUUGUUAAGUCAGUUGUGAAAGUUUGCGGCUCAACCGUAAAAUUGCAGUUGAAACUGGCAGUCUUGAGUACAGUAGAGGUGGGCGGAAUUCGUGGUGUAGCGGUGAAAUGCUUAGAUAUCACGAAGAACUCCGAUUGCGAAGGCAGUUCACUGGACUGCAACUGACACUGAGGCUCGAAAGUGUGGGUAUCAAACAGGAUUAGAUACCCGAGUAGUC